AGAGUUUGAUCCUGGCUCANNACGAACGCUGGCGGCGUGGAUUAGGCAUGCAAGUCGAACGAGAAUCUGAGAGUCCAAGUUUUCGGACAAGGACUUUUGGAGGACAGUGGCGGAAGGGUGAGUACAACAUGGAUAAUCUACCUUCAAGUUGGGUAUAGCUCCUCGAAAGGGGAGAUAAUCCCGAAUGUGGUGAUCCGGCGCAUGUCGGAGAAUCCAAAGGCGGGGACCGCAAGGCCUGUCGCUUGAAGAUGAGUCCGUGCACUAUCAGCUUGUUGGCGGGGUAACGGCCCACCAAGGCUAUGACGGUUAGCUGGUCUGAGAGGAUGGUCAGCCACACUGGGACUGAGAUACUGCCCAGACUCCUACGGGAGGCUGCAGUCGAGAAUCAUUCGCAAUGGGCGAAAGCCUGACGGUGCGACGUCGCGUGGAGGAUGAAGGUCUUCGGAUUGUAAACUCCUUUUAUAUGGGAAGAAUAGAUGACUGUACCAUAUGAAUAAGGACCUGCUAACUACGUGCCAGAAGCAUCGGUGAUGCGUAGGGUCCGAACGUUAUCCGGAUUUAUUGGGUGUAUAGAGAUGCGUAGGCGGUUUGAUAAGUCUUGAGUUAAAGACCUCGGCUCAACUGAGGAAAAGCUUUCGAUACUAUCAGACUUGAGGCAUAGAGGGGUGAACGGAAUUCCGAGUGGAGUGGUGAAAUACGUUGAUAUUCGGAGGAACAUCAGUGGCGAAGGCGGUUCACUGGCUAUUGCCUGACGCUCAGGCUCGAAAGCGUGGGUAGCAAAACGGAUUAGAUACCCGUGUAGUCCACGCUGUAAACUAUGGAUGCUAGGUGUUCGGUACAACUGGUUUUAAUCUUCGGAUUUUAAGCGGGAGUGCUGAGUGCCGCAGCUAACGCGUUAAGCAUCCCACCUGGGAAGUACGGCCGCAAGGCUAAAAC
This 936-nucleotide ribosomal RNA is filed under the name Verrucomicrobia bacterium UBA5207. RNAcentral describes it as "bacterial SSU rRNA". It matches the Rfam family "Bacterial small subunit ribosomal RNA", at positions 8 to 900 of the family's 1533-position model. The record is from RNAcentral. Lineage: Bacteria; Pseudomonadati; Verrucomicrobiota.